AGGUCAUUUCAAAGAGAGCUUAUGGACCAAAACCAGGAGCUCUUAACACUGUGACCUAAGCCUGAAGUUCUCUAUAAUAACAGACACUCAAUAGUGCUUUGUUUUCAUGAGGAGAUAUAAGG
Small nucleolar RNA from Eptesicus fuscus (big brown bat), 122 nucleotides. RefSeq annotates it as small nucleolar RNA SNORA25. Lineage: Eukaryota; Metazoa; Chordata; Mammalia; Chiroptera; Vespertilionidae. The transcript has a single exon. The record is from RefSeq and is a predicted model, not a curated record.